Erigeron canadensis is the source of this 743-nucleotide long non-coding RNA. RefSeq lists it as uncharacterized. NCBI's taxonomy places the organism in Eukaryota, Viridiplantae, Streptophyta, Magnoliopsida, Asterales, Asteraceae. The transcript has 3 exons. The record is from RefSeq and is a predicted model, not a curated record.
UCUCUUUUGUUCCUAUGUGGUUCAUAAGCAAUUCGGUGGUGAUUUAUCUUAGGUUUUGAUCCCUCAAUCAUCCCUAGAGUAAUCCAAUCAUCAAUUGAUGGUUUCAUGGUGUUAAUUAAGUUUUCAAUGAUGUCUGUAACUGAUCUACAAAGUUUGAGGUCGUGAGGGUUAGAGAUGAGUUCGAAACGAAAAGAUCAAGAAAUCCCGUUUUUACAUACCACAGCCCAGAAAACAUCCGAUCACCGGAGAUUGAACCGUCGGAUCAUCUUGAUUUUUGGACUGUAGCUUCCUGACAUAUAGGUGAAGAUUUUCAACCGUUGAAUUUGUCCAUGGAGGUCCAGAAGUCGAGUUAUAGGGCUGGCACAGUGGGCUGGAAUUUAGUUGACUUUGGUUUUAGGUCAUCACUAAUCAUUCUUUUGAUUAUCCUUCUGAUUAUGACAUAAAGGUACCCGGGAAUACUUUUCAAGCACCGUAACUUGUUAAUUGGUUGUUGUUGAAUUCUUUUAAGGUUAAGCAGGUCGAGCUAGUGAAACACUUAGCUUGGUGAGCCGGGUAGUUGCUAUGAAGAACACAUUUAGUUUUCCCGUUUAGUCAUUUAUGUUAGCCUUAAUGAUGAUUGGCUACUUAUAAUAUGACUUAUGUAUUGUUUAUAUUGGCAUUUAUAUUGGUGCCAAAUCUGGAUUAUCUUAUACUAUUUUAAUGAUAUGUAUGUUGUAACACCACUUCCAUAAAUGAACUAUCCA